CCCUUAACUAGAGCAAAUGCGCAGCCGUAAGAGGCGUGUUAUGUGUUAUGCUGGAGGAGGGAGCCCCGGAUCGAGCAUGAUUAAAAACCCAGGUUUAUAAAAGUUAGGACGGGAGGAAGGAAGUUGCAGUUUCGCAGGCGCAAGGCCCCAUCUGCAUUGGCGUGCCACUGGUUUCUGAAGAUCGACCUUUUUACACACAAGUGUUCCCUUCAUCUCACAACCCAAGGCUCCUGUUUUAAUUGCUUUGUUUUAAUGUAAUUGUGUGUUUUUUGCAUAUUUUAAUUAUGAAUGUUUUAUAUGUUAACGUUGGGGGUCAUAAGUUCUUAGACUUGUACAAUGCUUAGGGUCCUAUUUUGGCUGCCUGCAGCAGAAUCUUAGAAGUCCAUACACCUUGCACUUCGAAAGAAGAUGGUUGGUGUGUGGCCCACAAUUGCCAACUGCGAUGGUGGCAGAGUGAAGAAAAUUAGCCAUUUCUUGUUCACAAAGUCAUUUUUGACUGACCCUGCUUGGAGUGAUGUUGGAAUAUGUAUGUGCUUUUUUGUUUUUUGUUUGCCCAGAGAGUGAAAAUGUUAGUUUGGGGCAUAUAGUAUGCUGGCUUUAGGUCAUGAGACAGAUAUAAUAAAGAUUGUUUUUAUACA
Long non-coding RNA from Podarcis muralis (Common wall lizard), 638 nucleotides. RefSeq lists it as uncharacterized. The record is from RefSeq and is a predicted model, not a curated record. NCBI's taxonomy places the organism in Eukaryota, Metazoa, Chordata, Lepidosauria, Squamata, Lacertidae.